RNAcentral lists this long non-coding RNA (637 nucleotides) under Nicotiana benthamiana. Its description in RNAcentral is "long non-coding RNA (NBEN_LNC016538)". Lineage: Eukaryota; Viridiplantae; Streptophyta; Magnoliopsida; Solanales; Solanaceae. The record is from RNAcentral.
CCCAGCGGCCAGCGCAUCGCUACAUCCCCACUCAGCUAGGGCUUUUCCAUCCCUACUAUCGAUGGAUGGAAAGUGUCCCAUGUAAAUGUUAUCUCCUAUCCCUAUCUACACUUGGCAUAUCUUUAUUUUGGUUCAUUCGAGACAAAGUGAGAUUCAAGUACUAGAAGAUGUAGGUUUUUACCUAACAGCAUUACUUUUAUUUAUUAAAAGAGAAAGUAAAGCCUUAGAAUGCAUACGUGGUUGAUAUGAGACCUUCGGAGGCAAAUGUUGAAUAGCCUUGUCUCUGUUUGUGCUUGGGAUUAGCUGUGCAUAGAACAUAUACGCGCCCACGUCGCUUAACUGUGCGACAGAACUCGCACAUCUUCUUCACUGAUGCCCUAACCUUCAUGGCUGUUAAUGAUCCAAACCACAAACGAUGAGAAAAUUAUCCAUGAGCAUACAUAUACGCGCCCACGUCGCUUGACUGUGCGACAGAACUCGCACAUCUUCUUCACUGAUGCCCUAACCUUCAUGGCUGUUAAUGAGCCAAACCACAAAUGAUGAGAAAAUUAUCCAUGAGCAUGACUAGGAAAUACUACAAGCAUUCACCAAAGCAAAAUUUUAACUUCUCAUAAAUCAGAGUCCGCAAAAUAAAAGG